RNAcentral lists this long non-coding RNA (665 nucleotides) under Marmota monax (woodchuck). The record is from RNAcentral. Lineage: Eukaryota; Metazoa; Chordata; Mammalia; Rodentia; Sciuridae.
GGAUCAUAAAGAGGGAGGGGGAGGGAGGACUUCUUUUUGAGGUCAGACAUAUUAACCACUUUAGUUGUUAAUAUUUUAAGAAGGUUCUCUGUGGGUAAUGAGAAAGUUGUAGUGUUACUCAAAUUUGAGCUUGCACCAGAAUUUCCUAGAAGACAUGUUUAAAGACACAGGACCAGGCUCUUUCCUUGAGAAGGACCUGGGACUUUCCAUCUUUAACAGUUUCUGAUAGAUUUUUAUUUGAGGAACAAUGAACUGGACAAAUAAUGGCCCACAGGCCUAGUCAAAUCUACCUAUUUUUAUAAACAAAGUUUUACUGAGACAGCCACGCCCACUGGAUUUGCUUAUUAUCUAUAGCUGCCUUUGCUUCAAUGUCAGGUUCAGGCAGGGACUGCAUGGCUUGCAAAGCUAAGAAUAUUGACCACCUGGCCCUUUCAAGUUUGCCAACUGCUGGGCUCAAAGGAGGCAGCAAAGGUGUGGUUGUGAGAGUGAUGAGUCAGAAAGUAUGUGAGAACUUCUGCCUUUACUAGGUAAAAAUUUGCCUCUCUGAAAAGUGGAGAUUUGCCUAAUUCAGUUUUAGAAGAGCUAGGUCAAGUCAUAUAAAUGACAGUGUUGAUAGUAUGCCCACUAGAUGAAAUGAAUGUUAACCCAGAAAGUCCCAAGUGUUA